This 497-nucleotide ribosomal RNA is filed under the name uncultured bacterium. RNAcentral's name for it is "partial 16S ribosomal RNA". It matches the Rfam family "Bacterial small subunit ribosomal RNA", at positions 28 to 507 of the family's 1533-position model. The record is from RNAcentral.
GACGAACGCUGGCGGCGUGCCUAAUACAUGCAAGUUGAGCGCUGAAGGUUGGUACUUGUACCAACUGGAUGAGCAGCGAACGGGUGAGUAACGCGUGGGGAAUCUGCCUUUGAGCGGGGGACAACAUUUGGAAACGAAUGCUAAUACCGCAUAAAAACUUUAAACACAAGUUUUAAGUUUGAAAGAUGCAAUUGCAUCACUCAAAGAUGAUCCCGCGUUGUAUUAGCUAGUUGGUGAGGUAAAGGCUCACCAAGGCGAUGAUACAUAGCCGACCUGGGAGGGUGAUCGGCCACAUUGGGACUGAGACACGGCCCAAAAUCCUACGGGAGGCAGCAGUAGGGAAUCUUCGGCAAUGGACGAAAGUCUGACCGAGCAACGCCGCGUGAGUGAAGAAGGUUUUCGGAUCGUAAAACUCUGUUGGUAGAGAAGAACGUUGGUGAGAGUGGAAAGCUCAUCAAGUGACGGUAACUACCCAGAAAGGGACGGCUAACUACGUG